This 689-nucleotide unclassified non-coding RNA is filed under the name uncultured bacterium. RNAcentral describes it as "partial contains 16S ribosomal RNA, 16S-23S ribosomal RNA intergenic spacer, and 23S ribosomal RNA". The stretch from base 579 to 689 matches the Rfam family "Bacterial large subunit ribosomal RNA", at positions 1 to 111 of the family's 2925-position model. The record is from RNAcentral.
AAACAAGCAAUUUAAUUUAAACGCCCACACUUAUCGGUUGUUGGAAGAAGUCGAAGUCUUCAUUGAUUCUCGAUUGGGUCUGUAGCUCAGCUGGUUAGAGCACCGUCUUGAUAAGGCGGGGGUCGUUGGUUCGAGCCCANCUAGACCCACCAAAUCUUCUGAUUUCUCGUGUGAGAGUUUUGGGGGAUUAGCUCAGCUGGGAGAGCACCUGCUUUGCAAGCAGGGGGUCGUCGGUUCGAUCCCGUCAUCCUCCACCAAUAAUGCGAUACUUAAAUUCAACACCAAAGCGGCUUCCUGCUCAGGCAUGAGGCUUCUUUGUUGUUGAUCGAGAUCUCUUGAUCAAUCGGCUGUUCUUUAAAAAUUCAUAGAGUCGAAUCAGCGUUGCUGAUGGAAACUGCACAUUCGUAAAGGUUUAGUGCUGACCGUGCCAUCAGCAACAUAGAAUUUUUGAUUGCGUCAAAAGAAACUUCAAUUUCGAGUCAAAUCGAAUUGAAUGUACGGCAUAACGCGUCAGGUGAAAGACCUGACAUAUUCCUUGUGAUGAUUUUGUAGUUUCGAAAGAAACGUCAAAGUUAUAGGGUCAAGUGAAUAAGAGCACGUGGUGGAUGCCUUGGCGAUGAUAGGCGACGAAGGACGUGAUAGCCUGCGAUAAGCUUCGGGGAGCUGGCAAAUUAGCUUGAUCCGGAGAU